CCUGGUGUAAGUGAUGACUGAACUUUUUUCCCCAACAGAUCGACCGUGUUGAUCUCAUUACUCUUUGCCAGUUUCAUUCUGAUGCACCAGC
Molecule: small nucleolar RNA, 91 nt
Organism: Tachyglossus aculeatus (Australian echidna)
Lineage: Eukaryota; Metazoa; Chordata; Mammalia; Monotremata; Tachyglossidae
Product: small nucleolar SNORD12/SNORD106
Exons: 1
Source: RefSeq, a predicted model, not a curated record